This 495-nucleotide ribosomal RNA is filed under the name uncultured bacterium. RNAcentral describes it as "bacterial SSU rRNA". It matches the Rfam family "Bacterial small subunit ribosomal RNA", at positions 23 to 507 of the family's 1533-position model. The record is from RNAcentral.
CUCAGGAUGAACGCUAGCGACAGGCUUAACACAUGCAAGGUCGAGGGGCAUCACGGUGUAGCAAUACACGUGGUGGCGACCGGCGCACGGGGUGAGUAACACGUAUGCAACCUGGCCUUAGUCAGGGGGAUAAUCGGGGGGAAACCCCGUCUAAUACCGCGUAUAUGGUAUAGAGGCAUCUUGUACCAAGAAAGGAGUGAUCCGGAUAAGGAUGGGCAUGCGGGACAUUAGGUAGUAGGUGAGGUAACGGCUCACCAAGGCGACGAUCAGUAGCCGGUCUGAGAGGAUGAACGGCCACAUUGGGACUGAGACACGGUCCAGACUCCUACGGGAGGCAGCAGUGAGGAAUAUUGGUCAAUGGCCGAGAGGCUGAACCAGCCAUGCCGCGUGAAGGUCACGGCCCUAUGGGUCUUAAACUUCUUUUGUAAGGGAGCAAUAAGUUUCACGUGUGGGACGAUGAGAGUACCUUACGAAUAAGCAUCGGCUAACUCCGUG